GGGGAAUAUUGCACAAUGGGCGCAAGCCUGAUGCAGCCAUGCCGCGUGUAUGAAGAAGGCCUUCGGGUUGUAAAGUACUUUCAGCGAGGAGGAAGGCAUUAAGGUUAAUAACCUUAGUGAUUGACGUUACUCGCAGAAGAAGCACCGGCUAACUCCGUGCCAGCAGCCGCGGUAAUACGGAGGGUGCAAGCGUUAAUCGGAAUUACUGGGCGUAAAGCGCACGCAGGCGGUCUGUCAAGUCGGAUGUGAAAUCCCCGGGCUCAACCUGGGAACUGCAUUCGAAACUGGCAGGCUGGAGUCUUGUAGAGGGGGGUAGAAUUCCAGGUGUAGCGGUGAAAUGCGUAGAGAUCUGGAGGAAUACCGGUGGCGAAGGCGGCUUUCUGGACUGUAACUGACGCUGAGGCAUGAAAGCGUGGGGAGCAAAC
This 425-nucleotide ribosomal RNA is filed under the name uncultured bacterium. RNAcentral's name for it is "bacterial SSU rRNA". It matches the Rfam family "Bacterial small subunit ribosomal RNA", at positions 356 to 773 of the family's 1533-position model. The record is from RNAcentral.